Molecule: non-coding RNA, 31 nt
Filed under: Mus musculus (house mouse)
Lineage: Eukaryota; Metazoa; Chordata; Mammalia; Rodentia; Muridae
Source: RNAcentral
UAAUGCUGUUUGUCCAUUUGUCUCCUUCCCU